GGUCAAGUGACUAAGCGCAUACGGUGGAUGCCUUGGCAGUCAGAGGCGAUGAAGGACGUUGUAGCCUGCGAAAAGCUUCGGGGAGUCGGCAAACAGACUUUGAUCCGGAGAUGUCCGAAUGGGGAAACCCACCCCUAGGGGUAUCCUGCACUGAAUACAUAGGUGUAGGAGGCGAACCUGGUGAACUGAA
RNAcentral lists this ribosomal RNA (190 nucleotides) under Luminiphilus sp. RNAcentral describes it as "partial 23S ribosomal RNA". It matches the Rfam family "Bacterial large subunit ribosomal RNA", at positions 1 to 197 of the family's 2925-position model. The record is from RNAcentral. Lineage: Bacteria; Pseudomonadati; Pseudomonadota; Gammaproteobacteria; Cellvibrionales; Halieaceae.